This 466-nucleotide ribosomal RNA is filed under the name uncultured bacterium. Its description in RNAcentral is "partial 16S ribosomal RNA". It matches the Rfam family "Bacterial small subunit ribosomal RNA", at positions 30 to 507 of the family's 1533-position model. The record is from RNAcentral.
CGACCGCUGGCGGCGUGCUUAACACGUGCAAGUCGAACGGAAAGGCCCUGCUUUUGUGGGGUGCUCGAGUGGCGAACGGGUGAGUAACACGUGAGUAACCUGCCCUUGACUUUGGGAUAACUUCAGGAAACUGGGGCUAAUACCGGAUAGGAGCUCCUGCUGCAUGGUGGGGGUUGGAAAGUUUCGGCGGUUGGGGAUGGACUCGCGGCUUAUCAGCUUGUUGGUGGGGUAGUGGCUUACCAAGGCUUUGACGGGUAGCCGGCCUGAGAGGGUGACCGGCCACAUUGGGACUGAGAUACGGCCCAGACUCCUACGGGAGGCAGCAGUGGGGAAUAUUGCACAAUGGGCGGAAGCCUGAUGCAGCAACGCCGCGUGCGGGAUGAAGGCCUUCGGGUUGUAAACCGCUUUCGCCUGUGACGAAGCGUGAGUGACGGUAAUGGGUAAAGAAGCACCGGCUAACUACGUG